RNAcentral lists this ribosomal RNA (383 nucleotides) under uncultured bacterium. RNAcentral's name for it is "bacterial SSU rRNA". It matches the Rfam family "Bacterial small subunit ribosomal RNA", at positions 518 to 898 of the family's 1533-position model. The record is from RNAcentral.
CGGUAAUACGUAGGGGGCAAGCGUUAUCCGGAUUUAUUGGGCGUAAAGCGCGCGUAGGCGGCUUGUUAAGCGAGAUGUGAAAACCGGGGGCUUAACCCGCGGCCUGCAUCUCGAACUGGCAGGCUUGAGUCUGGUAGAGGAAAGUGGAAUUCCCAGUGUAGCGGUGAAAUGCGCAGAUAUUGGGAGGAACACCAGUGGCGAAGGCGGCUUUCUGGGCCACGACUGACGCUGAGGCGCGAAAGCUAGGGGAGCGAACAGGAUUAGAUACCCUGGUAGUCCUAGCCGUAAACGAUGGGCACUAGGUGUGGGGGGUCACCAACUCCCUCCGUGCCGCAGCUAACGCAUUAAGUGCCCCGCCUGGGGAGUACGGCCGCAAGGCUAAA